RNAcentral lists this ribosomal RNA (169 nucleotides) under uncultured bacterium. RNAcentral's name for it is "partial 16S ribosomal RNA". It matches the Rfam family "Bacterial small subunit ribosomal RNA", at positions 338 to 524 of the family's 1533-position model. The record is from RNAcentral.
CCUACGGGAGGCAGCAGUGGGGAAUAUUGGACAAUGGGGGCAACCCUGAUCCAGCAAUGCCGCGUGAGUGAUGAAGGCCCUAGGGUUGUAAAGCCCUUUCGGCGGGGAAGAUAAUGACGGUACCCGCAGAAGAAGCCCCGGCCAACUUCGUGCCAGCAGCCGCGGUAAU